This 253-nucleotide ribosomal RNA is filed under the name uncultured bacterium. RNAcentral's name for it is "partial 16S ribosomal RNA". It matches the Rfam family "Bacterial small subunit ribosomal RNA", at positions 524 to 776 of the family's 1533-position model. The record is from RNAcentral.
UACGAAGGGGGCUAGCGUUGCUCGGAAUCACUGGGCGUAAAGCGCACGUAGGCGGGUCGUUAAGUCGGGGGUGAAAUCCUGGAGCUCAACUCCAGAACUGCCUUCGAUACUGGCGAUCUUGAGUCUGGGAGAGGUGAGUGGAACUCCGAGUGUAGAGGUGAAAUUCGUAGAUAUUCGGAAGAACACCAGUGGCGAAGGCGGCUCACUGGCCCGGUACUGACGCUGAGGUACGAAAGCGUGGGGAGCAAACAGG